RNAcentral lists this transfer-messenger RNA (309 nucleotides) under Aureoumbra lagunensis. RNAcentral describes it as "Standard tmRNA". It matches the Rfam family "transfer-messenger RNA". From Rfam's summary of the family: Bacterial tmRNA, also known as 10Sa RNA or SsrA, is named for its dual tRNA and mRNA-like properties. Its role is to liberate the mRNA from a stalled ribosome. To accomplish this part of the tmRNA is used as a reading frame that ends in a translation stop signal. Lineage: Eukaryota; Pelagophyceae; Sarcinochrysidales; Sarcinochrysidaceae. The record is from RNAcentral.
GGGGCUGAUAUCGUUUCGACAAUUUAAUUUUACUGAAGGCACAAGUCGAGCAUUCGUCUUACUCGUAAAAUAUGGCGUUUAAAAAAUUAAAUGCAAAAUUCUUUAAUUCAAUUUUUCCAACUCGUCCACAAUUAGCAUUCGCUUAAUGUCCGGUUUGGCGACAUAAAAUUACUGGGCUCAUUUUAUGUUGUAAUUUGCUCGCUGCUAAUUUUAGCUAAGAGAAUUUUUUCAAUCUCUGUUUGUAAACUUGUAUAAUGUCUUUAGAUGAAUUAAUAUUGGACGUGGGUUCAAUUCCCACCAGCUCCACUA